Molecule: transfer RNA, 78 nt
Filed under: Paracoccaceae bacterium
Lineage: Bacteria; Pseudomonadati; Pseudomonadota; Alphaproteobacteria; Rhodobacterales; Paracoccaceae
Description: Rhodobacteraceae bacterium tRNA-Asp
Rfam family: tRNA
About the family: Transfer RNA (tRNA) molecules are approximately 80 nucleotides in length. Their secondary structure includes four short double-helical elements and three loops (D, anti-codon, and T loops).
Source: RNAcentral
GCGGCUGUAGCUCAGCCUGGUUAGAGCGCUGGCCUGUCACGCCAGAGGUCGCGGGUUCGAACCCCGUCAGCCGCGCCA